UCGGUGCAGACUUAGCCGUCAUGAGAGGCCUGAAGGGCCCUUGAAUUUCCGCUGUUAGUAGAGACAAUUUGGCAGGCAGAAGAGCCAAGGCUGCAUCAGCGGCUUGGAGUACGCGGGCCUCUCACUGUUGUGGCCUCUCCCGUUGCGGAGCACAGGCUCCGGACGCGCAGGCUUAGCGGCCAUGGCUCACGGACCCAGCCGCUCCGCGGCAUGUGGGAUCUUCCUGGAACAGGGCACGAACCCACAUCCCCUGCAUCGGCAGGCGGACUCUCAACCACUGCGCCACCAGGGAAGCCCCUAAAAUGACAUCUUGAUUCAUCACUCUCUCUGAUUCAGAUAUGAUUGGUUAUUGCCAUGAAGACUGUGUUUGAGAGCACCAGAGCACCCCCCACCCUGGAGACAAGCCAGUGUGUCAGGGUAAGCAGGAGUAGAUAGUGAUUCUGUACCAUCCUCUUUGUUUAGGGCCUGGUAGUCCUAGUAAAGCCUGGCCUUCUUACCUCACUUUUUCACAAAAAUCCCUUGUAAGAAAGAAUAAAUGUCUUUUGCACCCCUA
Orcinus orca (killer whale) is the source of this 553-nucleotide long non-coding RNA. RefSeq lists it as uncharacterized. Lineage: Eukaryota; Metazoa; Chordata; Mammalia; Artiodactyla; Delphinidae. The record is from RefSeq and is a predicted model, not a curated record. The transcript is spliced from 2 exons.